CCCAUUUCCCGUCAGCCCCAGCGGCUGAUUGGCGCCCUGGGCUCGGCGCGGUGCGGUGUGCGGCAGGGACUGCCAGGAGCCCGCAGG
MicroRNA precursor from Dasypus novemcinctus (nine-banded armadillo), 87 nucleotides. The record is from Ensembl. Lineage: Eukaryota; Metazoa; Chordata; Mammalia; Cingulata; Dasypodidae.